Molecule: long non-coding RNA, 1421 nt
Organism: Pyrgilauda ruficollis (rufous-necked snowfinch)
Lineage: Eukaryota; Metazoa; Chordata; Aves; Passeriformes; Passeridae
Exons: 3
Source: RefSeq, a predicted model, not a curated record
CCCCGGGAACACCGGGAGCACCGGGAACACCGCGAAGCAGCCCCGGGAGCACCGUGAACACCGCGAAGUAGCCCCGGGAACACCGGGAGCACUGAGAACACCGUGAAGCAGCCCCGGAGCAGCGAGGGCGGCCCGGCCCAGCCCUGAGGGUGAGGCGCGGCCUGCGCGGGACGGGCCGUGAGGGGAGCGGAAGAAGCGCCCGCGUGAGGGGAGUUUUGAACCGAGGGUGUGUUUGGGAGAGAACAACAGCCUGAAAUUUGUUCCAUCCAGCCAUUCCAAAUGUGCCAUUCCCAGCCUGAAAUUCGUUCCUUUCAGGGAUUCCAAAUUCCCAGCAGCGACUCCGUGCCAGAGUUUGAUCCAUUGUUAAUAGCGAGGAGAGGAUGCUGUGAUGCUGCCGAGAUGCAGCGAGGAGCUCUGCUCCAGGAUUUAGCUCUGCCCAGAGCGCCGGGGAUGCUGCGGAAAGGUUGCCAGAGAGGCGGAUACCAGCCUGCAUCCAGCUUUUUGCUGCAUCCCUGCUGCCGAGCCAGAUAUGGAUCAUCCCUGGGAUUAUUCCUGCCUGUCCCCGCGCAGGGAGGGGACUCUGGAGGUGCUGCUGUGCCAGGGGGGUGUCGAUGGGCGCCGGACCCUGCGGGCGCUGUGGAUUUUUCAGUUCUGGAGCCGACGCUCCCCUCACGGUGAGGUCUCUGUGGCGCAAUGGACGAGCGCGCUGGACUUCUAAUCCAGAGGUUCCGGGUUCGAGUCCCGGCAGAGAUGAUCUCCAGGCAGGUGUCUCUUUUAUUUUAGGGCCAUUUCCCUCAGAGAUGAUCCCCAGGCAGGUGUCUCUUUAUUUUGCUGCCAUUUCCCUCAGAGAUCUUCUCCAGGCAGGUGUCUCUUUUAUUUUGGUUCCAUUCCCCUCAGAGAUCAUCUCCAGGCAGGUGUCCCUUUGCUUUUAGGUCCAUUCCCCUCAGAGAUGAUCCCCAGGCAGGUGUCCCUUUUAUUUUAGUGCCAUUCCCCUCUGAGAUGAUCUCCAGGCAGGUGUCUCUUUAUUUUAGGGCCUUUCCCCUCAGAGAUGGUCCCCAGGCAGGGCCAUUUCCCUCAGAGAUCUUCUCCAGGCAGGUGUCUCUUUUAUUUUGGUGCCAUUUCCCUCAGAGAUCAUCUCCAGGCAGGUGUCCCUUUUCUCUUAGUGCCAUUUCCCUCAGAAAUCAUCCCCAGGCAGGUGUCCCUUUGCUUUUAGGGCCAUUUCCCUCUGAGAUGAUCUCCAGGCAGGGCCAUUUCCCUCAGAGAUCAUCCCCAUGCAGGUGUCUCUUUUAUGUUGGUGCCAUUUCCCUCAGAGAUGAUCUCCAGGCAGGUGUCUCUUUAUUUUAGGGCCAUUCCCCUCAGAGAUGAUCUCCAGGCAGGUGUCUCUUUAUUUUAGGGCCAUUCCCCUCAGAGAUGAUCUCCAG